GAUGAACGCUGGCGGCGUGCCUAAUACAUGCAAGUCGAGCGAACGGACGAGAAGCUUGCUUCUCUGCUGUUAGCGGCGGACGGGCGAGUAACACGUGGAUAACCUACCUAUAAGACUGGGAUAACUUCGGGAAACCGUAGCUAAUACCGGAUAAUAUUUUGAACCGCAUGGUUCAAAAGUGAAAGACGGUCUUGCUGUCACUUAUAGAUGGAUCCGCGCUGCAUUAGCUAGUUGGUAAGGUAACGGCUUACCAAGGCAACGAUGCAUAGCUGACCUGAGAGGGUGAUCAGCCACACUGGAACUGAGACACGGUCCAGACUCCUACGGGAGGCAGCAGUAGGGAAUCUUCCGCAAUGGGCGAAAGCCUGACGGAGCAACACCGCGUGAGUGAUGAAGGUCUUCGGAUCGUAAAACUCUGUUAUUAGGGAAGAACAUAUGUGUAAGUAACUGUCCACGUCUUGACGGUACCUAAUCAGAAAGCCACGGCUAACUACGUG
This 497-nucleotide ribosomal RNA is filed under the name uncultured bacterium. RNAcentral's name for it is "partial 16S ribosomal RNA". It matches the Rfam family "Bacterial small subunit ribosomal RNA", at positions 28 to 507 of the family's 1533-position model. The record is from RNAcentral.